Small RNA from Streptomyces avermitilis MA-4680 = NBRC 14893, 109 nucleotides. It matches the Rfam family "Streptomyces RNA 4115". From Rfam's summary of the family: Identified by deep sequencing of transcriptome at the end of exponential growth phase. Sequencing size consistent with notrthern blot size. Lineage: Bacteria; Bacillati; Actinomycetota; Actinomycetes; Kitasatosporales; Streptomycetaceae. The record is from Rfam.
GCGUGGGUCGGCCCGCUGUACUGGAUCCAGUGGGCUGGGGGACACCGCCGCCUACAUCCCCGCGGGCGGCGGACCGGUCCGGGAGGCGAACUCCGCCUCCCGGACUGUG